RNAcentral lists this ribosomal RNA (625 nucleotides) under uncultured euryarchaeote. RNAcentral's name for it is "bacterial SSU rRNA". It matches the Rfam family "Archaeal small subunit ribosomal RNA", at positions 20 to 648 of the family's 1478-position model. The record is from RNAcentral. Lineage: Archaea; Methanobacteriati; Methanobacteriota.
UGAUNCNCCGUUUCGGUGUCCGAUUUAGCNUGCGAGUCGUGCGGGUUCAGACCCGNGGCGAACUGCUCAGUAACACGUGGCCAAGCUACNCUCUGGACACGGAUAACCUCGGGAAACUGAGGCUAAUCCGCGAUAUCGCUUCCGAGCUGGAGUGCUGGAAGCGAGAAACGCUNCGGCGCCGGAGGAUGCGGCUGCGGCCGAUUAGGUAGACGGUGGGGUAACGGCCCACCGUGCCGAUAAUCGGUACGGGUUGUGAGAGCAAGAGCCCGGAGACGGACUCUGAGACAAGAGUCCGGGCCCUACGGGGCGCANCAGGCGCGAAACCUUUACACUGCACGCCAGUGCGAUAGGGGGACACCGAGUGCGAGGGCAUAGAGCCCUCGCUUUUCCGUACCGUAAGGUGGUACGGGAACAAGGGCUGGGCAAGACCGGUGCCAGCCGCCGCGGUAACACCGGCAGCCCGAGUGAUGGCCGAUAUUAUUGGGCCUAAAGCGUCCGUAGCCGGCCGGUGAGGUCCGUCGGGAAAUCCACUCGCUCAACGAGUGGGCGUCCGGCGGAAACCCUUCGGCUUGGGACCGGGAGACCGAAGGGGUACGUUCGGGGUAGGAAUGAAAUCCCGUAAUCU